CAGCAGUGGGGAAUAUUGCACAAUGGGCGCAAGCCUGAUGCAGCCAUGCCGCGUGUGUGAAGAAGGCCUUCGGGUUGUAAAGCACUUUCAGUCAGGAGGAAAGGUUAGUAGUUAAUACCUGCUAGCUGUGACGUUACUGACAGAAGAAGCACCGGCUAACUCCGUGCCAGCAGCCGCGGUAAUACGGAGGGUGCGAGCGUUAAUCGGAAUUACUGGGCGUAAAGCGUACGCAGGCGGUUUGUUAAGCGAGAUGUGAAAGCCCCGGGCUCAACCUGGGAACUGCAUUUCGAACUGGCAAACUAGAGUGUGAUAGAGGGUGGUAGAAUUUCAGGUGUAGCGGUGAAAUGCGUAGAGAUCUGAAGGAAUACCGAUGGCGAAGGCAGCCACCUGGGUCAACACUGACGCUCAUGUACGAAAGCGUGGGGAGCAAACAGGAUUAGAUACCCUGGUAGUCCACGCCGUAAACGAUGUCUACUAGAAGCUCGGAACUUCGGUUCUGUUUUUCAAAGCUAACGCAUUAAGUAGACCGCCUGGGGAGUACGGCCGCAAGGUUAAAACUCAAAUGAAUUGACGGGGGCCCGCACAAGCGGUGGAGCAUGUGGUUUAAUUCGAUGCAACGCGAAGAACCUUACCUACAC
Molecule: ribosomal RNA, 638 nt
Filed under: Pseudoalteromonas sp.
Lineage: Bacteria; Pseudomonadati; Pseudomonadota; Gammaproteobacteria; Alteromonadales; Pseudoalteromonadaceae
Description: bacterial SSU rRNA
Rfam family: Bacterial small subunit ribosomal RNA
Source: RNAcentral